UACGUAGGGAGCAAGCGUUGUCCGGAAUCAUUGGGCGUAAAGCGCGCGUAGGUGGCCACAUAAGUCCGUUGUGAAAGUCAAAGGCUCAACCUUUGAAAGCCGGUGGAUACUGUGUGGCUAGAGUACGGAAGAGGCGAGUGGAAUUCCUGGUGUAGCGGUGGAAUGCGCAGAUAUCAGGAGGAACACCGAUGGCGAAGGCAGCUCGCUGGGACGGUACUGACGCUGAGGCGCGAAAGCGUGGGGAGCAAACAGG
Molecule: ribosomal RNA, 253 nt
Filed under: uncultured bacterium
Lineage: Bacteria
Description: partial 16S ribosomal RNA
Rfam family: Bacterial small subunit ribosomal RNA
Source: RNAcentral